Molecule: ribosomal RNA, 230 nt
Filed under: uncultured Alicycliphilus sp.
Lineage: Bacteria; Pseudomonadati; Pseudomonadota; Betaproteobacteria; Burkholderiales; Comamonadaceae
Description: partial 16S ribosomal RNA
Rfam family: Bacterial small subunit ribosomal RNA
Source: RNAcentral
AGAUGCAGAUUGGGCGUAAAGCGUGCGCAGGCGGUUUUGUAAGACAGAGGUGAAAUCCCCGGGCUCAACCUGGGAACUGCCUUUGUGACUGCAAGGCUGGAGUGCGGCAGAGGGGGAUGGAAUUCCGCGUGUAGCAGUGAAAUGCGUAGAUAUGCGGAGGAACACCGAUGGCGAAGGCAAUCCCCUGGGCCUGCACUGACGCUCAUGCACGAAAGCGUGGGGAGCAAACA